Molecule: ribosomal RNA, 444 nt
Filed under: Desis formidabilis
Lineage: Eukaryota; Metazoa; Arthropoda; Arachnida; Araneae; Desidae
Description: partial 16S ribosomal RNA
Source: RNAcentral
UUCUAAUAGAAAUAAUUAUUAGUAUAAUCUGCUCAAUGAAUCUAAUUAAAUAGCCGCAAUUCUAUUGUGCUAAGGUAGCAUAAUCAUUUGUCUUUUAAUUAAAGACUAGAACGAACGAUUUAACGUUUCAAUAACUAUAAUUAUAUAUAAAUUUUAAAUUUAUCUUAAAUAUAAAAAGAUAUUUAUAAAUAAAAAAGACGACAAGACCCUAUUGAACUUAACUAAAGUUAAACUGGGGCAGUUAAUUAAUUAAUAUUUUAAUUUAAAAUUUAAAACAAAUGACCUGAACAAUUCAACCUCAUGAAAAGUUACCAUAGGGAUAACAGCGUAAUAAUUUUCCAAAGAUCUUAUAUAAAAAAUUGUUUACGACCUCGAUGUUGAAUAAUAUCCUAUAAUACGAAAAAAUAUUAAAAAGGAAGUCUGUUCGACUUUUAACCAAUUACA